GAUGAACGCUGGCGGCGUGCCUAAUACAUGCAAGUCGAGCGAACGGACGAGAAGCUUGCUUUUCUGAUGUUAGCGGCGGACGGGUGAGUAACACGUGGAUAACCUACCUAUAAGACUGGGAUAACUUCGGGAAACCGGAGCUAAUACCGGAUAAUAUUUUGAACCGCAUGGUUCAUAAGUGAAAGACGGUCUUGCUGUCACUUAUAGAUGGAUCCGCGCUGCAUUAGCUAGUUGGUAAGGUAACGGCUUACCAAGGCAACGAUGCAUAGCCGACCUGAGAGGGUGAUCGGCCACACUGGAACUGAGACACGGUCCAGACUCCUACGGGAGGCAGCAGUAGGGAAUCUUCCGCAAUGGGCGAAAGCCUGACGGAGCAACGCCGCGUGAGUGAUGAAGGUCUUCGGAUCGUAAAACUCUGUUAUUAGGGAAGAACAUAUGUGUAAGUAACUGUGCACAUCUUGUCGGUACCUAAUCAGAAAGCCACGGCUAACUACGUG
RNAcentral lists this ribosomal RNA (497 nucleotides) under uncultured bacterium. RNAcentral describes it as "partial 16S ribosomal RNA". It matches the Rfam family "Bacterial small subunit ribosomal RNA", at positions 28 to 507 of the family's 1533-position model. The record is from RNAcentral.